UACGAAGGGUGCAAACGUUGCUCGGAAUUAUUGGGCGUAAAGCGCACGUAGGCGGCUCUGCAAGUCGGAUGUGAAAUCCCUCGGCUCAACCAAGGAAGUGCAUCCGAAACUGCGGAGCUUGAGUACUUAAGAGGAUCGCGGAAUUCCCGGUGUAGAGGUGAAAUUCGUAGAUAUCGGGAGGAACAUCAGUGGCGAAGGCGGCGAUCUGGGAAGUUACUGACGCUGAGGUGCGAAAGCCAGGGGAGCAAACGGG
Molecule: ribosomal RNA, 253 nt
Filed under: uncultured bacterium
Lineage: Bacteria
Description: partial 16S ribosomal RNA
Rfam family: Bacterial small subunit ribosomal RNA
Source: RNAcentral